AUUGAACGCUGGCGGCAGGCUUAACACAUGCAAGUCGAACGCGUGGCGGACGGGUGAGUCAUGCUUGGGAAUUUCGUUUAUGGAGGGGGAUACUUACGGGAAACUGUAGCUAAUACCGCGUACCUUAGGAUGAGCCCAAGUUGGAUUAGGUAGUUGGUGAGUUAAAGGCUCACCAAGCCCACGAUCUCUAGCUGCUCUGAGAGGAUGACCAGCCACACUGGGACUGAGACACGGCCCAGACUCCUACGGGAGGCAGCAGUGGGGAAUAUUGCGCAAUGGGGGCAACCUGACGCAGCCAUGCCGCGUGAAUGAAGAAGGCCUUCGGGUUGUAAAGUUCUUUCGGUAGCGAGGCGUUAACUACAGAAGAAGCCACGGCUAACUACGUGCCAGCAGCCGCGGUAAUUC
Molecule: ribosomal RNA, 405 nt
Filed under: uncultured bacterium
Lineage: Bacteria
Description: partial 16S ribosomal RNA
Rfam family: Bacterial small subunit ribosomal RNA
Source: RNAcentral